RNAcentral lists this ribosomal RNA (523 nucleotides) under uncultured bacterium. Its description in RNAcentral is "partial 16S ribosomal RNA". It matches the Rfam family "Bacterial small subunit ribosomal RNA", at positions 28 to 523 of the family's 1533-position model. The record is from RNAcentral.
GACGAACGCUGGCGGCGUGCCUAAUACAUGCAAGUCGAACGCUUUUUCUUUCACCGGAGCUUGCUCCACCGAAAGAAAAGGAGUGGCGAACGGGUGAGUAACACGUGGGUAACCUGCCCAUCAGAAGGGGAUAACACUUGGAAACAGGUGCUAAUACCGUAUAACAGUCGAAACCGCAUGGUUUCGAUUUGAAAGGCGCUUUUGCGUCACUGAUGGAUGGACCCGCGGUGCAUUAGCUAGUUGGUGAGGUAACGGCUCACCAAGGCAACGAUGCAUAGCCGACCUGAGAGGGUGAGCGGCCACAUUGGGACUGAGACACGGCCCAAACUCCUACGGGAGGCAGCAGUAGGGAAUCUUCGGCAAUGGACGAAAGUCUGACCGAGCAACGCCGCGUGAGUGAAGAAGGUUUUCGGAUCGUAAAACUCUGUUGUUAGAGAAGAACAAGGAUGAGAGUAAAAAGUUCAUCCCUUGACGGUAUCUAACCAGAAAGCCACGGCUAACUACGUGCCAGCCGCCGCAGUAA